CCGGCUAAGUGGCACGAGCUUUCCGAAAAGGUUUCUGAGUCAGAAAAGCUGUUUAAAUAAUUGAUUUUCUUGGCCAAGAAUCGUCGAUAAAUUGGGUCAUGUUCCUUAGCACACACAAGUCCAAAUAGAAGCCAAAAGCGAAGCGUUGAGAAAGUCAUGUCGCUGGUAUCAAGGAAGAUGGCGAAUAAAUGGUGGACUCCAUUAUAAGAUGAUGAGUCAAGAGGUUGAAAAUGACUCCAAUCUUCAAUUCAGUUCUUAAUCCUCUUUAGAAAGCCCAUCUUGAAGAGAUGUUUGUGGUGUAAAGUCUCUGGUGGUGUAUCAGCGUCUGUACUCUCCUCCUCAUCAGACAGAUACCCACUAUCGAUGACUUCCUGCGUCAAAGGCAAGAUAUUCAUAUCAGAUUCUUCGUAUUUCCAGGUAGGUAAGGAAGGCGCGUCGUCUAGCUCCUUGGCCGAGACUGCGGGGUCCC
Molecule: long non-coding RNA, 469 nt
Organism: Actinia tenebrosa (Australian red waratah sea anemone)
Lineage: Eukaryota; Metazoa; Cnidaria; Anthozoa; Actiniaria; Actiniidae
Source: RefSeq, a predicted model, not a curated record